This 496-nucleotide ribosomal RNA is filed under the name uncultured bacterium. Its description in RNAcentral is "bacterial SSU rRNA". It matches the Rfam family "Bacterial small subunit ribosomal RNA", at positions 29 to 512 of the family's 1533-position model. The record is from RNAcentral.
AACAAACGCUGGCGGCGUGUCUUAAGCAUGCAAGUUGAGCGGCAAGGAGGAGAGAUCCUCCCUAGAGCGGCGGACUGGUGAGUAACGCGUGGGUAAUCUAUCGUAGGCAUGGGGAUAGUCACUAGAAAUAGUGGGUAAUACCGAAUACGUUCCAUGAGGGGAGUAUUCAUGGAAGAAAGGGUGCUACGGCACUGGCCUUAGGUGAGCUCGCGUCCCAUUAGCUAGUUGGUGAGGUAAAGGCCCACCAAGGCGAUGAUGGGUAGCCGGCCUGAGAGGGUGUACGGCCACACUGGGACUGAGAUACGGCCCAGACUCCUACGGGAGGCAGCAGCUAAGAAUAUUCCGCAAUGGACGAAAGUCUGACGGAGCGACGCCGCGUGGAUGAAGAAGGCCGAAAGGUUGUAAAGUUCUUUUGCUAGGGGAGAAUAAGUGUGGGAGGGAAUGCCUGCACGAUGACAAGGACUAGCGAAUAAGUCCCGGCCAACUACGUGCCAGC